Molecule: ribosomal RNA, 953 nt
Filed under: uncultured Streptococcus sp.
Lineage: Bacteria; Bacillati; Bacillota; Bacilli; Lactobacillales; Streptococcaceae
Description: bacterial SSU rRNA
Rfam family: Bacterial small subunit ribosomal RNA
Source: RNAcentral
CGACGAACGCUGGCGGCGUGCCUAAUACAUGCAAGUAGGACGCACAGUUUAUACCGUAGCUUGCUACACCAUAGACUGUGAGUUGCGAACGGGUGAGUAACGCGUAGGUAACCUGCCUAUUAGAGGGGGAUAACUAUUGGAAACGAUAGCUAAUACCGCAUAACAGUAUGUAACACAUGUUAGAUGCUUGAAAGAUGCAAUUGCAUCGCUAGUAGAUGGACCUGCGUUGUAUUAGCUAGUAGGUAGGGUAAUGGCCUACCUAGGCAACGAUACAUAGCCGACCUGAGAGGGUGAUCGGCCACACUGGGACUGAGACACGGCCCAGACUCCUACGGGAGGCAGCAGUAGGGAAUCUUCGGCAAUGGGGGGAACCCUGACCGAGCAACGCCGCGUGAGUGAAGAAGGUUUUCGGAUCGUAAAGCUCUGUUGUUAAGGAAGAACGAGUGUGAGAAUGGAAAGUUCAUGCUGUGACGGUACUUAACCAGAAAGGGACGGCUAACUACGUGCCAGCAGCCGCGGUAAUACGUAGGUCCCGAGCGUUGUCCGGAUUUAUUGGGCGUAAAGCGAGCGCAGGCGGUUAGAAAAGUCUGAAGUGAAAGGCAGUGGCUCAACCAUUGUAGGCUUUGGAAACUGUUUAACUUGAGUGCAGAAGGGGAGAGUGGAAUUCCAUGUGUAGCGGUGAAAUGCGUAGAUAUAUGGAGGAACACCGGUGGCGAAAGCGGCUCUCUGGUCUGUAACUGACGCUGAGGCUCGAAAGCGUGGGGAGCGAACAGGAUUAGAUACCCUGGUAGUCCACGCCGUAAACGAUGAGUGCUAGGUGUUAGGUCCUUUCCGGGACUUAGUGCCGCAGCUAACGCAUUAAGCACUCCGCCUGGGGAGUACGACCGCAAGGUUGAAACUCAAAGGAAUUGACGGGGGCCCGCACAAGCGGUGGAGCAUGUGGUUUAAUUCGA